GCCCGCGUCCGAUUAGCUAGUUGGCGGGGUAAUGGCCCACCAAGGCGACGAUCGGUAGCCGGCCUGUGAGGACAGACAGCCAGACUGGGACUGAGACACGGCCCAGACUCCUACGGGAGGCAGCAGCAAGGAAUUUUCCCCAAUGGGCGCAAGCCUGAGGGAGCAACGCCGCGUGGAGGACGACGGCCUUCGGGUUGUAAACUCCUUUUGGGGGGGACGAUGAUGACGGUACCCCCCGAAUCAGCCCCGGCUAACUCUGUGCCA
This 264-nucleotide ribosomal RNA is filed under the name uncultured Chloroflexus sp. RNAcentral describes it as "partial 16S ribosomal RNA". It matches the Rfam family "Bacterial small subunit ribosomal RNA", at positions 229 to 510 of the family's 1533-position model. Lineage: Bacteria; Bacillati; Chloroflexota; Chloroflexia; Chloroflexales; Chloroflexaceae. The record is from RNAcentral.